UCCGCCCCCGGAAACGGAAGUCUGUAUGCGCGCGGAGUUUAAUUUGAGCAGCAUCUCGCGCGCCGGUCAGUGGGUUUCAAAACAGCAGCGAGCAAUAGUCGAUAAUCAGCGAUCGAUCCGUGAACAUGGCGACCCCCCCGAAGAGGCCGUGCCCCCCUCCCCGCAGCCCGUCGCUGAACGGCAGCUUUUCCCGUCAAAGGAAGGAGAAGAAGAUCUCCAUCGAAGGAAACAUAGCUGCAGGAAAGUCGACAUUUGUGCGCCUCCUUCAGGCAGCAUCAGAGGACUGGGAGGUCAUCCCUGAACCGAUUGGCAAGUGGUGCAACGUGCAGAAUGACAGCGAUGACGUUUACCUGGAGCUGAGCUCAUCUCAAAAGAGUGGAGGAAACCUGCUGCAGAUGCUGUACGAUAAACCCAGCCGCUGGUCCUACACCUUCCAGAGCUACGCGUGUCUGAGCAGAGUUCGAGCUCAGCUUCAGUCGCCAUCAAUCAAACUUCAGCAGGCAGAAAACCCCGUCCAGUUCUACGAGCGCUCCGUCUACUCCGACAGGUACGUGUUUGCGUCAAACCUGUUUGAGAGUGGCGACCUGUCGGAGACGGAGUGGAGUGUGUAUCAGGACUGGCACACCUGGUUACUGAACCAGUUUGAGUCCGACAUCGCUCUCGACGCCAUCAUCUACCUCAGAGCCCCGCCACAGCGCUGCAUGCAGCGGCUGCUUCAUCGCGGCCGGCAAGAAGAGCAGGAAAUUCCUCUGGAGUACCUUGAGCAGCUGCACUUCAAACAUGAAGCCUGGCUCUACCACAGGAACCUCAGGUUGGACUUUGAUUACUUGAGCGAACUUCCUGUUCUCGUCCUGGAUGUCAACGACGACUUCAAGAACGACCGCAUCAAACAGGAAGCCAUCAUCGACAAGGUCAGAGAGUUUCUUACCACACUGUGAAGCUCAUCCACCAAUGAGAGGUGCUGGGAGAAGUGGUGGCGUGUCUGAUUGGACGACUGAUGUGUUUGUUUUUUUUGUUGUUGUUUUGUUUUUUUAACUUGUUUUUAUAUUUUUGUAGUUUAAGUGUGUGUGUGUGUGUGUGUGUGUGUGUGUGUCUGUGUGUGUGUGUGUGUGUGUGUGUGUGUGUCCAUGAUAUAUUUACUUGCUCUUAGCUUCAUAUUUAUCCUUCAGUCUGAUCAUUCCUGUUUGUCCUGACAAUGAGGUGGUGUUGAAGCCACCACGAUGCCUUCAGGGACCGUUGGUGUUCUGGUUUCUGUGUGAAUAAAGUCAAACUGAAUGAG
This is an RNA transcript of Haplochromis burtoni (Burton's mouthbrooder), 1279 nucleotides long. It is a transcript of the gene named deoxynucleoside kinase, with no coding region annotated. The transcript has 9 exons. NCBI's taxonomy places the organism in Eukaryota, Metazoa, Chordata, Actinopteri, Cichliformes, Cichlidae. The record is from RefSeq and is a predicted model, not a curated record.